UCCUUCUUGUAUAAGCACUGUGCUAAA
Molecule: microRNA, 27 nt
Filed under: Equus caballus (horse)
Lineage: Eukaryota; Metazoa; Chordata; Mammalia; Perissodactyla; Equidae
Description: eca-miR-1248
Source: miRBase by way of RNAcentral